AUGUCGUGUCUUACAAGGAAGAAAAAGAACCCAAACAUUUCCAUUUAUUCAUCUCACAGCUCUCCUGUCUGCAGGUUUAGAACAAAAUUAAGUUCAAAAAAUUCUGAAGAAUUCCCUGGUUAAGCAUAUGAAAAAAGUUUUCUACAGACUUCUCUAUGCGCAGUGAUGAGUUCAGAUAUUGAAUAUCUUGGAGCAGUAUUGGCAAAAUAAUAACAACAUGCAGAGCAAGUAGGAUUGAGAGGCAGUGGGGUAAGUUUCUUGCACACUGAGUUCCUUUAAUGUUGAUUCAAAUUUUAAAGGGAUAUCAUGAUGUGUUAACAUCUCGGAAAUCCUCUAACAGAUUAAACCCGUUAUUAUGAAUAUUCUUUUACCCUCAAAUACAAAAGCACUAGAAGACUGUUGUAAGAUAAGCUAACAUGGAAAAAACUUCAUACUUCCCUCUCAUGAGAAGCGUUUUAAGUGUUCAAGCCCAGAGCCUGGUAAGCUCUGGGCCUGGUAAGCCAGCUCAGGCAUCGCUUCUAGCCUCUGACUUCAGGUAAGAUUUUAUUGUCUUACAGAACACUCCGGAGUUCAACCUUCCUUCCAAACCAACAAAAAACAAAACAAAACCCCCUUCCCCAAAAAACAAACUAAGGGCCUAAACUCACCCUCACUUCGAAAGCCAUUAUAUUUUGAUCCUGUAUUGAUUCCUGACCCAAGGAAUACUGUCUUAUCUAGGGUUAACGUUAAAAAAAAAAAAAAGU
RNAcentral lists this long non-coding RNA (743 nucleotides) under Struthio camelus australis. RNAcentral's name for it is "lncRNA (ENSSCUG00000002323.1)". Lineage: Eukaryota; Metazoa; Chordata; Aves; Struthioniformes; Struthionidae. The record is from RNAcentral.